AGAAGCUCCCUGUGCCCAUGGGGCCAUCUCGGCUUGUCCGUGGCCCUCGGCCCCAGGGCAUGCGUUCCCCCUACCGCAGGCCAGGUAUGGGCUGGCCCAGGCCCCGAUUUCCCAGGAUGUUCAAGUGUAGCCGCAGAAGAUAUCAACAGGGUCUCCGAGGUCGAACUGCCAGCAGUGCAGCCAUCAAUCCUGCCACCAGGGCCAUGGGUAUCAACAACACCCACACUGACACCACCAUAGUGUGGAUCUUCCCACCUCAAGCCAGGG
RNAcentral lists this long non-coding RNA (267 nucleotides) under Homo sapiens (human). RNAcentral's name for it is "non-protein coding lnc-POMGNT1-1:11". The record is from RNAcentral. Lineage: Eukaryota; Metazoa; Chordata; Mammalia; Primates; Hominidae.